This 882-nucleotide long non-coding RNA is filed under the name Heterocephalus glaber (naked mole-rat). Its description in RNAcentral is "lncRNA (ENSHGLG00000040981.1)". The record is from RNAcentral. Lineage: Eukaryota; Metazoa; Chordata; Mammalia; Rodentia; Bathyergidae.
GGGGCCUGUUGGUCCCCUUGAGCUAAUGGCUGCCUGGAGGGGUGCGGACUAAACUGAGCUCCCUUAAGAAAAAGGAAGAGCCCCAUUCCAGGGCCCUUCAUUGUGGCUGACAUUGACACUGAGCUCUGACAGCACAGGAACCUGGCUGGGAGCCCUUGAGUCACGCGGCAUGUGUCACUUCGGUGCAUGGACCAGGAGGGGAGACAUGGACCACAUCCUGGGCAGAGCAGAAGGAUGGAAGCCAGGCUCCCUGAUGGCACCUGAGCCUUCUGAUCAGCUUGGGUGUCACCUCCUCUGCAUUUCUAGCACCUGGUCUACUCAGCCCUGGUGUCCCUCUGUCAUCAGAUGCCACUGAGGCAGGAAGAUCUGAGUUAGAAGGAGUCAUGAGGCCACCUGUCACAUCCAGGCAAGGACCCCAUUUAUACCCUAGCUGUGGCAGUCCCUUCUCUCCAGCCAUCCUUAGGCUGGAACUUGACAUCCUCCUGCCUCAGCCUCCCAGAGUGCUGGGAUUACAAGCAUGUGUGCCACCAUGCCCGGCAACUUCUCCUGUUUUAAUCUGCCAAGCUUCCCCCUUUUGUAAUUCUCCCUUUUUGUAAUUUGCAUUCUGGUUCUGGAGGGGAGGGGUGACCAAGUAACCCACCCUCUGGCCAUAGAGAUGCCAUCUGACUUUGGUCUGACCAGUCACAGUCCUCCAUUCCCUGGCACAGUGAUUGGCCCAGUGGCGGGACUGUAACACAGACUGGGCCAGUCAGAAUCUUUCCCUGGUCUUUAUUAUGUUAGCUAAUGGCCCUCGUCAGGUAGGAAGGCAGCACGUGGAGAGGAGAGUCAUCCUGAGAGGACAGGAGCUGGGCCCACUGUCCCUCUGCAUAGAGCCGUCCUGAG